RNAcentral lists this ribosomal RNA (440 nucleotides) under uncultured bacterium. Its description in RNAcentral is "partial 16S ribosomal RNA". It matches the Rfam family "Bacterial small subunit ribosomal RNA", at positions 338 to 795 of the family's 1533-position model. The record is from RNAcentral.
CCUACGGGAGGCUGCAGUGGGGAAUAUUGCACAAUGGGGGAAACCCUGAUGCAGCGACGCCGCGUGAGUGAAGAAGUAUUUCGGUACGUAAAGCUCUAUCAGCAGGGAAGAAAAUGACGGUACCUGACUAAGAAGCCCCGGCUAACUACGUGCCAGCAGCCGCGGUAAUACGUAGGGGGCAAGCGUUAUCCGGAUUUACUGGGUGUAAAGGGAGCGUAGACGGCAGCGCAAGUCUGGAGUGAAAUCCCAUGGCUUAACCAUGGAACUGCUUUGGAAACUGUGCAGCUAGAGUGCAGGAGAGGUAAGCGGAAUUCCUAGUGUAGCGGUGAAAUGCGUAGAUAUUAGGAGGUACACCAGUGGCGAAGGCGGCUUACUGGACUGUAACUGACGUUGAGGCUCGAAAGCGUGGGGAGCAAACAGGAUUAGAUACCCUGGUAGUC